UUCAGCGGCGGACGGGUGAGUAAUGCCUAAGAAUCUGCCUGGUAGUGGGGGAUAACGUCCGGAAACGGGCGCUAAUACCGCAUACGUCCUGAGGGAGAAAGUGGGGGAUCUUCGGACCUCACGCUAUCAGAUGAGCCUAGGUCGGAUUAGCUAGUUGGUGGGGUAAAGGCCUACCAAGGCGACGAUCCGUAACUGGUCUGAGAGGAUGAUCAGUCACACUGGAACUGAGACACGGUCCAGACUCCUACGGGAGGCAGCAGUGGGGAAUAUUGGACAAUGGGCGAAAGCCUGAUCCAGCCAUGCCGCGUGUGUGAAGAAGGUCUUCGGAUUGUAAAGCACUUUAAGUUGGGAGGAAGGGCAGUAAGUUAAUACCUUGCUGUUUUGACGUUACCAACAGAAUAAGCACCGGCUAACUUCGUGCCAGCAGCCGCGGUAAUACGAAGGGUGCAAGCGUUAAUCGGAAUUACUGGGCGUAAAGCGCGCGUAGGUGGUUCAGCAAGUUGGAUGUGAAAUCCCCGGGCUCAACCUGGGAACUGCAUCCAAAACUACUGAGCUAGAGUACGGUAGAGGGUGGUGGAAUUUCCUGUGUAGCGGUGAAAUGCGUAGAUAUAGGAAGGAACACCAGUGGCGAAGGCGACCACCUGGUACUGAUACUGACACUGAGGU
RNAcentral lists this ribosomal RNA (666 nucleotides) under uncultured Pseudomonadaceae bacterium. RNAcentral describes it as "SSU rRNA". It matches the Rfam family "Bacterial small subunit ribosomal RNA", at positions 91 to 752 of the family's 1533-position model. Lineage: Bacteria; Pseudomonadati; Pseudomonadota; Gammaproteobacteria; Pseudomonadales; Pseudomonadaceae. The record is from RNAcentral.